RNAcentral lists this ribosomal RNA (253 nucleotides) under uncultured bacterium. Its description in RNAcentral is "partial 16S ribosomal RNA". It matches the Rfam family "Bacterial small subunit ribosomal RNA", at positions 524 to 776 of the family's 1533-position model. The record is from RNAcentral.
CACGUAGGGCGCAAGCGUUGUCCGGAAUUAUUGGGCGUAAAGAGCUCGUAGGCGGUCUGUUACGUCCGCUGUGAAAUCCCAGGGCUUAACCCUGGGCUUGCAGUGGAUACGGGCAGACUAGAGGUAGGUAGGGGAGAAUGGAAUUCCCGGUGUAGCGGUGAAAUGCGCAGAUAUCGGGAGGAACACCGGUGGCGAAGGCGGUUCUCUGGGCCUUACCUGACGCUGAGGAGCGAAAGCGUGGGGAGCGAACAGG